UUACGGUCAAAUCACGCUGAAACACCGGUUCUCGUACGAUCACCGAAGUUAAGCAGCGUAGAGACAGGUCAGUACUUAGAUGGGGGACCGCUUGGGAACACCUGGUACUGUAAG
This 114-nucleotide ribosomal RNA is filed under the name Acanthosepion pharaonis. Lineage: Eukaryota; Metazoa; Mollusca; Cephalopoda; Sepiida; Sepiidae. The record is from RNAcentral.